RNAcentral lists this ribosomal RNA (253 nucleotides) under uncultured bacterium. Its description in RNAcentral is "partial 16S ribosomal RNA". It matches the Rfam family "Bacterial small subunit ribosomal RNA", at positions 524 to 776 of the family's 1533-position model. The record is from RNAcentral.
UACGUAGGUGGCAAGCGUUGUCCGGAAUUAUUGGGCGUAAAGCGCGCGCAGGCGGUCCUUUAAGUCUGAUGUGAAAGCCCACGGCUCAACUGUGGAGGGUCAUUGGAAACUGGGGGACUUGAGUACAGAAGAGGAAAGCGGAAUUCCACGUGUAGCGGUGAAAUGCGUAGAGAUGUGGAGGAACACCAGUGGCGAAGGCGGCUUUCUGGUCUGUAACUGACGCUGAGGCGCGAAAGCGUGGGGAGCAAACAGG